ACGAGCAUGUGCUCUGGGGAAUUUCUUUACAACCUUUUUUCCAUCGCCGAAAAAACAGACAGUUGGAAGUUACAGAUUGAUUCGUUCCACCUUACUAGGAAGUGAACACUUUGCACGGGAAGGGGAGGGACUCCUGGAACAAGUUGAGUAUGACCGUAACAAGCCUCUCAACAACGCGUACACAUUACUUAUUCAUCAAUUGCAAAACAGCCACAAAUUAAAUAACGAGUCUACGGUGUUAGACAUUUUAGAUACGAUUAGGUAAAAAAACCCAAGAUAAAUCCAACGCACUUCUCUUCGGCACUUUGUUGACACCAGUUUACCUGGCAAACGCGAAAUUCACACUUGAAUCUCAACUUUGUUUUUGUCUUUAUACCAGCGUUGACGCAAUGUCCACUCUUUCUGUAAGUUGGCGAGUGGGUGGGUGUGCUUUUUAAAGCGCACGGAAGGGGAACACAAGAAACGCGAGUGAAUUUUUUAAGGGUGGCCUUGACGCGCUCUGGUCGCCUGACAACAGCGCGCGAUGUUCCUCGAUUCUAACGGAUUUUAAGGUUCUUCCUCGCGCGGCGGUUCGGCGCGCGCGUCCUGCUCCAGCACAGGAACACGGGAAUGCUGCUGUGAUUUGAGCGGAUAAUUUAGCCUCUGGACCGACGUGAGAGGUUUUUGACUCUUUGAGUAUCGCAUCUCGGUGAUGAUGCCAUUCUCUAAAAAGGACAAUAUUGCAACCAACAGGUCAAAGGUCAGCAAUACUUAGUUGUUUAAAA
Molecule: long non-coding RNA, 764 nt
Organism: Myxocyprinus asiaticus (Chinese sucker)
Lineage: Eukaryota; Metazoa; Chordata; Actinopteri; Cypriniformes; Catostomidae
Exons: 2
Source: RefSeq, a predicted model, not a curated record